RNAcentral lists this non-coding RNA (114 nucleotides) under Bacillus sp. (in: firmicutes). RNAcentral's name for it is "Bacillus sp. TPP sequence". It matches the Rfam family "TPP riboswitch aptamer (THI element)". From Rfam's summary of the family: Vitamin B(1) in its active form thiamin pyrophosphate (TPP) is an essential coenzyme that is synthesised by coupling of pyrimidine and thiazole moieties in bacteria. The previously detected thiamin-regulatory element, thi box was extended, resulting in a new, highly conserved RNA secondary structure, the THI element, which is widely distributed in eubacteria and also occurs in some archaea. The record is from RNAcentral. RNAcentral also lists the same sequence under 1 other name. Lineage: Bacteria; Bacillati; Bacillota; Bacilli; Caryophanales; Bacillaceae.
AUGCUCUACUAGGGGGGUCCGACAGCUCGGACUGAGAGAAGAAUGCGUAAAAUUCUUUGACCCUUUGAACCUGAUCUGGAUGAUACCAGCGUAGGGAAGUAGUAAUGAAGGCGU